GACGAACGCUGGUGGCGUGCUUAACACAUGCAAGUCGAACGGAAAGGCCCUGCUUUUGUGGGGUGCUCGAGUGGCGAACGGGUGAGUAACACGUGAGUAACCUGCCCUCGACUUUGGGAUAACUUCAGGAAACUGGGGCUAAUACCGGAUAGGAGCUCCUGCUGCAUGGUGGGGGUUGGAAAGUUUCGGCGGUUGGGGAUGGACUCGCGGCUUAUCAGCUUGUUGGUGGGGUAGUGGCUUACCAAGGCUUUGACGGGUAGCCGGCCUGAGAGGGUGACCGGCCACAUUGGGACUGAGAUACGGCCCAGACUCCUACGGGAGGCAGCAGUGGGGAAUAUUGCACAAUGGGCGGAAGCCUGAUGCAGCAACGCCGCGUGCGGGAUGACGGCCUUCGGGUUGUAAACCGCUUUCGCCUGUGACGAAGCGUGAGUGACGGUAAUGGGUAAAGAAGCACCGGCUAACUACGUG
This 468-nucleotide ribosomal RNA is filed under the name uncultured bacterium. RNAcentral describes it as "partial 16S ribosomal RNA". It matches the Rfam family "Bacterial small subunit ribosomal RNA", at positions 28 to 507 of the family's 1533-position model. The record is from RNAcentral.